Molecule: long non-coding RNA, 478 nt
Organism: Oncorhynchus tshawytscha (Chinook salmon)
Lineage: Eukaryota; Metazoa; Chordata; Actinopteri; Salmoniformes; Salmonidae
Source: Ensembl
GAAAUGUGUUGCAAAACUAAACAGUCAUUUGAUAUUGAACAAGUUCAGAUAGUUUUCUACCUCCUGUUUCACUGUGUUUUCUUCUGUAUUGAGCUUCUAAACACGACCCUGUCCGUUAUUGACUUCUUCUCUGUCCGUCUCUGUAGUGGUCUGUUGUUGUUGUUGUAUUGACCAUGUUGUCCUCUGUUGUUAUUUACACCAGUGGCCUUGGCCUGUUGUUGUUGUUGUUGUUGUUGUUGUAUUGACCAUGUUGUCCUCUGUUCUUAUUUCCCCCAGUGGCCUGUUGUUGUUGUUGUUGUUGUUGUAUUGACCAUGUUGUCCUCUGUUCUUAUUUCCCCCAGUGGUCUGUUGUUGUUGUUGUUGUUGUUGUUGUAUUGACCAUGUUGUCCUCUGUUCUUAUUUCCUCCAGUGGUCUGUUGUUGUUGUUUGGUCUGUUGUUGUUGUUGUAUUGACCAUGUUGUCCUCUGUUCUUAUUUCC